RNAcentral lists this ribosomal RNA (497 nucleotides) under uncultured bacterium. RNAcentral describes it as "partial 16S ribosomal RNA". It matches the Rfam family "Bacterial small subunit ribosomal RNA", at positions 28 to 507 of the family's 1533-position model. The record is from RNAcentral.
GAUGAACGCUGGCGGCGUGCCUAAUACAUGCAAGUCGAGCGAACGGACGAGAAGCUUGCUUCUCUGAUGUUAGCGGCGGACGGGUGAGUAACACGUGGAUAACCUACCUAUAAGACUGGGAUAACUUCGGGAAACCGGAGCUAAUACCGGAUGAUAUUUUGAACCGCAUGGUUCAAAAGUGAAAGACGGUCUUGCUGUCACUUAUAGAUGGAUCCGCGCUGCAUUAGCUAGUUGGUAAGGUAACGGCUUACCAAGGCAACGAUGCAUAGCCGACCUGAGAGGGGGAUCGGCCACACUGGAACUGAGACACGGUCCAGACUCCUACGAGAGGCAGCAGUAGGGAAUCUUCCGCAAUGGGCGAAAGCCUGACGGAGCAACGCCGCGUGAGUGAUGAAGGUCUUCGGAUCGUAAAACUCUGUUAUUAGGGAAGAACAUAUGUGUAAGUAACUGUGCACAUCUUGACGGUACCUAAUCAGAAAGCCACGGCUAACUACGUG